Molecule: long non-coding RNA, 337 nt
Organism: Schistocerca serialis cubense
Lineage: Eukaryota; Metazoa; Arthropoda; Insecta; Orthoptera; Acrididae
Exons: 3
Source: RefSeq, a predicted model, not a curated record
ACUUUUUCUCUGCAUAGGAGACAUCUUCUACACCAAAUUUAAUUUUGAGCUGUCGGCAUUUGAAUCCAGAUUUUUGUCUUCUUAUUCAAGUGGGUUGUGCUAAAGAGACGAGUCAUUCUGAAUUCGAUUUGCUUUCGCUCUCCUUGGUAGACGCCCCCGUAAAAUUUGAGACAUGAGCAGCUGAAUUCAGAUUUGUUCCUUCUGUAACGUAAACGCUCAAGUGGAAUGUGUUAAAAGGACGAUUAAUUCUGUCGUUGUAAUGCUUUUCAUCUGCAUAGAAGACAUUCCAUUCACCAAAUUUAAAUGUGAAGAGAGGGCAAUUGAAUACAAAUUUUUA